RNAcentral lists this small RNA (106 nucleotides) under Marmota monax (woodchuck). Lineage: Eukaryota; Metazoa; Chordata; Mammalia; Rodentia; Sciuridae. The record is from RNAcentral.
GCCAGGUGUGUAGCACUUGCCUGUAAUCUCAGUUACUUGGGAGGCUGAGGCAGGAGGAUCACAAGUUUCAGGCCAGUUACAGAAAUUUAGUGAGACCUUGUCUCAA